This 679-nucleotide ribosomal RNA is filed under the name Arthrobacter sp. RNAcentral's name for it is "bacterial SSU rRNA". It matches the Rfam family "Bacterial small subunit ribosomal RNA", at positions 332 to 1020 of the family's 1533-position model. Lineage: Bacteria; Bacillati; Actinomycetota; Actinomycetes; Micrococcales; Micrococcaceae. The record is from RNAcentral.
UUUACUCCUACGGGAGGCAGCAGUGGGGAAUAUUGCACAAUGGGCGCAAGCCUGAUGCAGCGACGCCGCGUGAGGGAUGACGGCCUUCGGGUUGUAAACCUCUUUCAGUAGGGAAGAAGCGAAAGUGACGGUACCUGCAGAAGAAGCGCCGGCUAACUACGUGCCAGCAGCCGCGGUAAUACGUAGGGCGCAAGCGUUAUCCGGAUUUAUUGGGCGUAAAGAGCUCGUAGGCGGUUUGUCGCGUCUGCCGUGAAAGUCCGAGGCUCAACCUCGGAUCUGCGGUGGGUACGGGCAGACUAGAGUGAUGUAGGGGAGACUGGAAUUCCUGGUGUAGCGGUGAAAUGCGCAGAUAUCAGGAGGAACACCGAUGGCGAAGGCAGGUCUCUGGGCAUUUACUGACGCUGAGGAGCGAAAGCAUGGGGAGCGAACAGGAUUAGAUACCCUGGUAGUCCAUGCCGUAAACGUUGGGCACUAGGUGUGGGGGACAUUCCACGUUUUCCGCGCCGUAGCUAACGCAUUAAGUGCCCCGCCUGGGGAGUACGGCCGCAAGGCUAAAACUCAAAGGAAUUGACGGGGGCCCGCACAAGCGGCGGAGCAUGCGGAUUAAUUCGAUGCAACGCGAAGAACCUUACCAAGGCUUGACAUGUGCCAGACCGCUCCAGAGAUGGGGUUCCCUUUG